UCAGAUCAGAGGAAUGUACAAAGUAGUAGAGGAAUGUUCAAAUUUUACAUCGGUUGAAGCAAGCAGCCAAUGGUGAUACCACCACAUGAGACAUGAUACCCUAGAUGUUUCAAUACAUGUAUUAUGGAAUAUGGCGAACACAAAAGGUUCAUUACCUAUUGCAAUCUUCCUCCUCGUAUUGCUUUUUCCUGCAGUAUCAAAUAAACAUCGACAACCAAAGGUUAGUACAGAAUUAAAAUAAUUUAGGAAGUUCUAUCAGAAAAGAAAUAUCCGUUUCCUUCCUAGACUUUCCUGUUUUCCAUUGGCAAAACUUACAAGUUUCUACAUAAUUGCCGCCGAUAUAAACCUUGAUGAUCUAAUUGAAACUUUGUAGACUAAUUUUAUUGGCUGAAGCAAGUAGCUGCCAACCAUCACAUGGGGGA
RNAcentral lists this long non-coding RNA (422 nucleotides) under Elaeis guineensis (African oil palm). RNAcentral's name for it is "long non-coding RNA (EGUI_LNC016524)". Lineage: Eukaryota; Viridiplantae; Streptophyta; Magnoliopsida; Arecales; Arecaceae. The record is from RNAcentral.